RNAcentral lists this ribosomal RNA (508 nucleotides) under uncultured bacterium. RNAcentral describes it as "bacterial SSU rRNA". It matches the Rfam family "Bacterial small subunit ribosomal RNA", at positions 18 to 518 of the family's 1533-position model. The record is from RNAcentral.
UCUGGCUCAGACGAACGCUGGCGGCGCGUUUAAGCAUGCAAGUCGAGCGGCAAGGGCCUUCGGGCCCCUAGAGCGGCGGACGGGUGAGUAACACGUGGACAAUCUGCCCCCCGGCCCGGGAUAGCCCAGGGAAACCUGGAUUAAUACCGGAUGAGACGGGACCCGCGAUGGCGGGAUCCGGGAAAGGCGCUGCGGCGCCGCCGGGGGAUGAGUCUGCGUCCCAUUAGCUAGACGGCGGGUAACGGCCCACCGUGGCGACGAUGGGUAGCCGGCCUGAGAGGGUGGACGGCCACAUUGGAACUGAGACACGGUCCAGACUCCUACGGGAGGCAGCAGCUAAGAAUCUUCCGCAAUGGGCGAAAGCCUGACGGAGCCGACGCCGCGUGAACGAAGAAGGCCGUGAGGUUGUAAAGUUCUUUUCGGGAGGGGGAACAACCGUGGCAGGGAAUGGCCGCGGGAUGACGUGAAUCCCGGAAUAAGCCCCGGCUAACUACGUGCCAGCAGCGGC